GACGAACGCUGGCGGCGUGCUUAACACAUGCAAGUCGAACGGAAAGGCCCUGCUUUUGUGGGGCGCUCGAGUGGCGAACGGGUGAGUAACACGUGAGUAACCUGCCCUUGACUUUGGGAUAACUUCAGGCAACUGGGGCUAAUACUGGAUAGGAGUUCCUGCUGCAUGGUGGUGGUUGGAAAGUUUCGGCGGUUGGGAAUGGACUCGCGGCUUAUCAGCUUGUUGGUGGGGUAGUGGUUUACCAAGGCUUUGACGGGUAGCCGGCCUGCGAGGGUGACCGGCCACCGUGGGACUGAGGUACGGCCCAGCCUCCUACGGGAGGCAGCAGUGGGGGAUAUUGCACAAUGGGCGGAAGCCUGAUGCAGCGACGCCGCGUGCGGAAUAGCGACCUUCGGGUUGUAAACCGCUUUCGCCUGUGACGAAGCGUGAGUGACGGUACUGGGUAAAGAAGCACCGGCUAACUACGUG
RNAcentral lists this ribosomal RNA (468 nucleotides) under uncultured bacterium. Its description in RNAcentral is "partial 16S ribosomal RNA". It matches the Rfam family "Bacterial small subunit ribosomal RNA", at positions 28 to 507 of the family's 1533-position model. The record is from RNAcentral.